ACUUAAAAGAAAGAUGGGUAAGGAUUGAGUAAAGGAAGGGGGAGGACUUAAAGUAACAACUAUGAAAAGCUAAGAGCAUGUAUAAGCGAAAGAAAAAAAGUGAGAUGUACUGUCAGAUCCUUGAAACAAGACCAAAAAGCUGACCGAGGAGAGAAUGGGUGUGAUCCUAGCAGAGUUGACAGCAAAACAAUAAGUGAUGGAUUUUCGAAAAUAAAAAUUUAUUAAUCAUGUGUAAUCACUUUUCAUAUAGGAAGCAUAUAUAUCAAGAACAAUAUGCUUAAGAAAUUCGUAAUUCGUGCCAAUAAAAAAAUGUGGCAAAAUCUAUAUAAUAUGCCUUGCAAAGCAAUCUAUUAUGUGGUCACUUCUCCUUUUUAAAAGUGUAAUGGAAUUAUGGAAGAAUGGAGCCUGCUGGAAAACAGAAAGAACCGAUUAGAGUAAGAUAUAUAGAAGAUGAAUGUGCAUUUGAGAAAACAUAAGCUGCUCAAAAUGCAAUAUUCUAACCCAGUUCACAAUAGACCCGACUCAACAAUCUCCCCACCCUAGGAAACCGGUGCGAAAGGGGACAAAAAAAGAAAAACACAUUUACCAAAUCGAAGCAAAAAAUGAAAGCAAAAGGGCUAGAAAGACCAGACAACCAUGUCCAUGGGACAUGAACACCAUGACAACAGUAUAAAACAGAUCUUGAUAAAUCAAGCUGUUAAUAUAUCAGAGAUAGACAGCAAAACAGAAGAACAGCAGCACCUGGAGAGCACCAAAUAAGAGUGAGAAAGAAGCACAAUGAAGUUUGUUAACAUCAAAGAGAAAAACCCGAAAAGGAAAGGGAAAGCAAAGCUAUAAAACACCAAGCAACCAAUAGGUUUGAUCAAAAGAGAAAAGAGCAACAAGCUGUCAUAGCAAAUGAACUAAAAGCGCCAGCUGCUUGGUAUUUUUUUGCAGCCCGCAUGAUUCUUAACUGUCCGCAUGAUUCCCUACCAAGGAUCAUAAACUGAUUUAGCACCUCGAACCGAGAGCCUAAAAAUCUGCAUGAAUACUAUCCUUGACUAUGAUCAUAAGACAGUCACACAACUAAAUCUCUAAAAAAGUCAAUCUUUAGCAUUCAGAAGCACAUGCUAUUUUUAAAGGGCUCUGCAUUUUCCUCUGCAAACAUCCAGACCUGGAAGUUUUUAGGUCACACAUACUUUCUGUCUUAUGAAAUUGCAGACCAAAUUUUGAGACUGGAAAACAAAAUGAUAUGUUGAUUAACACUGAACAAGAGCAGAAAGUCUCGUGUUCAAAGCGCGAAGGAUGUUAAAAGAUAAUAAAAGAGAGCAUACCUCUCAUCAUUGACCUGAAUUUGUAUCUCAUGGUAACAGAUUCUAGUUCAUCAAUUGCAAUUGUAUAGAAAUCCUCGUGCUUAACCUGUAACCAGCACUAGAAGUCAAAUCUCCGAACCGAGUAGAUUUCACAAGUGUGCAUGCAUCAAAACAAG
RNAcentral lists this long non-coding RNA (1468 nucleotides) under Populus tremula. Its description in RNAcentral is "long non-coding RNA (PTRE_LNC000881)". The record is from RNAcentral. Lineage: Eukaryota; Viridiplantae; Streptophyta; Magnoliopsida; Malpighiales; Salicaceae.